GGUGAGAUGGCCGAGCGGUCUAAGGCGCCAGACUAAGGACCAAGGCAUUGGAUGCCUACGCCACAAUCUGGUCUCUUCGGGGGCGUGGGUUCGAAUCCCAUUCUCAUCA
Sphagnurus paluster is the source of this 109-nucleotide non-coding RNA. The record is from the annotation of a GenBank genome assembly. Lineage: Eukaryota; Fungi; Basidiomycota; Agaricomycetes; Agaricales; Lyophyllaceae.